GUGCCAGCCGCCGCGGUAAUACGUAGGGGGCAAGCGUUGUCCGGAUUCACUGGGCGUAAAGCGCGCGCAGGCGGUGAUGUAAGUCUGAGGUGAAAACCCGAAGCUCAACUUCGGGACUGCCUUGGAUACUGCGUCACUUGAGGAUAGGAGAGGCAAGGGGAAUUCCACGUGUAGCGGUGAAAUGCGUAGAGAUGUGGAGGAACACCUGUGGCGAAGGCGCCUUGCUGGCCUAUUUCUGACGCUGAGGCGCGAAAGCGUGGGGAGCAAACAGGAUUAGAUACCCUGGUAGUCCACGCUGUAAACGAUGAGUGCUAGGUGUAGGUGGGCUCAUACCCAUCUGUGCCGAAGCUAACGCAUUAAGCACUCCGCCUGGGGAGUACGGUCGCAAGACUGAAACUCAAAGGAAUUGACGGGGGCCCGCACAAGCAGUGGAGCAUGUGGUUUAAUUCGAAGCAACGCGAAGAACCUUACCAGGACUUGACAUCCCAUAGACCAGUCUAGAGAUAGACUUUCCCUUCGGGGCUGUGGUGACAGGUGGUGCAUGGUUGUCGUCAGCUCGUGUCGUGAGAUGUUGGGUUAAGUCCCGCAACGAGCGCAACCCUUACUUUGUGUUGCCAGCAUUCAGUUGGGCACUCACAAAGGGACUGCCGCCGAUAGCGGAGGAGGGUGGGGAUGACGUCAAAUCAUCAUGCCCCUUAUGUCCUGGGCUACACACGUGCUACAUGGGCGGUACACGGGAUGCGAAGCCGCGAGUGGAGCCAACCCUGAAACGUUCGUAGUUCGGAUUGUAGGCUGCAACUCGUCUACAUGAAGCCGG
Molecule: ribosomal RNA, 817 nt
Filed under: uncultured bacterium
Lineage: Bacteria
Description: bacterial SSU rRNA
Rfam family: Bacterial small subunit ribosomal RNA
Source: RNAcentral